AGAGUUUGAUCCUGGCUCAGGACGAACGCUAGCGACGUGCCUAAGAAAUGCAAGUCGAGCGGGGUUGAGGAGCUUGCUCCGAAAGCCUAGCGGCGAACGGUCGCGUAACACGUAAGCAACCUGCCCUGAAGUGGGGGAUAGCCCGCCGAAAGGCGGAUUAAUACCGCAUGUGAACACUCUCUCGCAUGUUUGAGUGUUUAAAGCAGCAAUGCGCUUCAGGAUGGGCUUGCGGCCUAUCAGCUAGUUGGUGGGGUAACGGCCUACCAAGGCGACGACGGGUAGCUGGUCUGAGAGGAUGGUCAGCCGGACUGGGACUGAGACACGGCCCAGACUCCUACGGGGGGCAGCAAUUAGGAAUCUUGCGCAAUGGGCGAAAGCCUGACGCAGCGACGUCGCGUGACCGAUGAAGUCCUUCGGGAUGUAAAGGUCUUUUUUGGGGGAAGAAGGAUGUGACGGUACCCCAAGAAUAAGCCCCGGCUAACUACGUGCCAGCAGCCGCGGUAAUACGUAGGGGGCGAGCGUUGUCCGAAUUCACUGGGCGUAAAGCGCGCGUAGGCGGGUUAUUAAGUUGGGGGUGAAAUCCCGAGGCUCAACCUCGGAACUGCCUCCAAAACUGGUAGCCUUGAGGUAUGGAGAGGGAAGUGGAAUUCCUGGUGUAGCGGUGAAAUGCGUAGAUAUCAGGAGGAACACCUGUGGCGAAGGCGGCUUCCUGGCCAUAUCCUGACGCUGAGGUGCGAAAGCUAGGGGAGCGAACGGGAUUAGAUACCCCGGUAGUCCUAGCCGUAAACGAUGGAUACUAGGUGUUAGAGGUAUCGACCCCUCUAGUGCCGCAGCUAACGCAUUAAGUAUCCCGCCUGGGGAGUACGACCGCAAGGUUGAAACUCAAAGGAAUUGACGG
This 898-nucleotide ribosomal RNA is filed under the name uncultured Armatimonadota bacterium. RNAcentral describes it as "bacterial SSU rRNA". It matches the Rfam family "Bacterial small subunit ribosomal RNA", at positions 8 to 916 of the family's 1533-position model. The record is from RNAcentral. Lineage: Bacteria; Bacillati; Armatimonadota.